AGCAGCCGCGGUAAUUCCAGCUCCAAUAGCGUAUAUUAAAGUUGUUGCAGUUAAAAAGCUCGUAGUUGAAUUUCGGGAUUGACGUGACGGUCAUGCCUUAAGGGGUAUGAACUGUUACUGUUGAUUUCUCACCUUCUGGAGAAACUUGAUGUCCUUUAUUGGGUGUCUUGCGGAUCCAGGACCUUUACCUUGAAAAAUUAGAGUGUUUAAAGCAGGCAUUUUUGCUCGAAUACAUUAGCAUGGAAUAAUAGAAUAGGACGGCAUGGUUCUAUUUUGUUGGUUUCUAGGAUCACCGUAAUGAUUAAUAGGGAUAGUUGGGGGCAUUAGUAUUCAAUUGUCAGAGGUGAAAUUCUUGGAUUUAUUGAAGACUAACUACUGCGAAAGCAUUUGCCAAGGAUGUUUUCAUUAAUCAAGAACGAAAGUUAGGGGAUCGAAGACGAUCAGAUACCGUCGUAGUCUUAACCAUAAACUAUGCCGACUAGGAAU
RNAcentral lists this ribosomal RNA (486 nucleotides) under uncultured Entrophospora. RNAcentral describes it as "SSU rRNA". It matches the Rfam family "Eukaryotic small subunit ribosomal RNA", at positions 569 to 1053 of the family's 1831-position model. The record is from RNAcentral. Lineage: Eukaryota; Fungi; Glomeromycota; Glomeromycetes; Entrophosporales; Entrophosporaceae.